UGGGGAAUAUUGGACAAUGGGCGAAAGCCUGAUCCAGCCAUGCCGCGUGUGUGAAGAAGGUCUUCGGAUUGUAAAGCACUUUAAGUUGGGAGGAAGGGCAUUAACCUAAUACGUUAGUGUUUUGACGUUACCGACAGAAUAAGCACCGGCUAACUCUGUGCCAGCAGCCGCGGUAAUACAGAGGGUGCAAGCGUUAAUCGGAAUUACUGGGCGUAAAGCGCGCGUAGGUGGUUUGUUAAGUUGGAUGUGAAAUCCCCGGGCUCAACCUGGGAACUGCAUUCAAAACUGACUGACUAGAGUAUGGUAGAGGGUGGUGGAAUUUCCUGUGUAGCGGUGAAAUGCGUAGAUAUAGGAAGGAACACCAGUGGCGAAGGCGACCACCUGGACUAAUACUGACACUGAGGUGCGAA
RNAcentral lists this ribosomal RNA (410 nucleotides) under uncultured bacterium. Its description in RNAcentral is "partial 16S ribosomal RNA". It matches the Rfam family "Bacterial small subunit ribosomal RNA", at positions 355 to 757 of the family's 1533-position model. The record is from RNAcentral.